UGGCCUUGACAUGUACCGAAUUGAGCAGAGAUGUUCAAGUGCUCGAAAGAGAACGGUAACACAGGUGCUGCAUGGCUGUCGUCAGCUCGUGUCGUGAGAUGUUGGGUUAAGUCCCGCAACGAGCGCAACCCUUGCCAUUAAUUGCCAUCAUUUAGUUGGGCACUUUAAUGGGACUGCCGGUGACAAACCGGAGGAAGGUGGGGAUGACGUCAAGUCCUCAUGGCCCUUAUGGCCAGGGCUUCACACGUAAUACAAUGGUCGGUACAGAGGGUUGCCAACCCGCGAGGGGGAGCCAAUCCCAGAAAGCCGAUCGUAGUCCGGAUUGUAGUCUGCAACUCGACUGCAUGAAGUCGGAAUCGCUAGUAAUCGCGGAUCAGCAUGUCGCGGUGAAUACGUUCCCGGGCC
This 405-nucleotide ribosomal RNA is filed under the name uncultured bacterium. Its description in RNAcentral is "bacterial SSU rRNA". It matches the Rfam family "Bacterial small subunit ribosomal RNA", at positions 976 to 1380 of the family's 1533-position model. The record is from RNAcentral.